AUAUGUUUGUAUCAAUGACUUACCCAUGCAUGUCUCAGAGUGAGUUUAAAUAUGGUGAAUCUGAGAACGAGUCAUUAAUGCCGUUAUAGUUUAUUUGAUGGUCAUUCUUACAUGGAUAAGGGUUGGAAUAUUAGAGCUCAUACAUGCAUCAAUACAUGAGGUAGGAAGUUGUUGUGGUUAUCUGUUACGGAACCAUCCCAUGUUCUGCAUUGUUUUGUGGUGACUCAUUAUGACUAGAUGAAUCGGAUGGAAUGGCUGUAGGUUGCGAUCAUUCGAAGUUUGUGAUCGUAUCAGCUUCCGAUGGUAGUGGUAUUGGCUUAUCUGUGGCAACGACGAGUCACGGAGAAUCUAGGGUUGGUUCUGGAGAGGGAACCUGAGACACUGCUAACACAUGUUUGGAGAGGCAGCAGGAGCGCAAAAAGUCCCAUCGUUACACAGGGAGGUAGUGACAAGAAAUAACAAUACAGGGCAAUAAUGUGCUCUGUAAGCGGAUUGAGUAGAAUAAAAAUUUAAUUAUGAGUAUCAAU
This 527-nucleotide ribosomal RNA is filed under the name uncultured eukaryote. RNAcentral's name for it is "bacterial SSU rRNA". It matches the Rfam family "Eukaryotic small subunit ribosomal RNA", at positions 26 to 548 of the family's 1831-position model. The record is from RNAcentral.